Molecule: long non-coding RNA, 1223 nt
Organism: Eriocheir sinensis (Chinese mitten crab)
Lineage: Eukaryota; Metazoa; Arthropoda; Malacostraca; Decapoda; Varunidae
Exons: 3
Source: RefSeq, a predicted model, not a curated record
AGAAAUAGAACAGGUAGGGAGAGAGGGAGAGGAGGAAGCAGAGUUAUGAGGGAGGGAGAGGAGGGAGCAACAGUAGGCUAGCAAUAAACAUCAGGAGCCCAUACAAGGAACAUAUACUAUUCCCCCUUUCUCCUUUUUUCACGUUCCUCUCCCUCUUUACAGAUACGGCGACACGUGCGACAUGGCGGGGGAAAGUGAUGGCCUUGCGCAACCAGGUGUUCAGCCUGACACCAGCGAGGAGGAAGAUGACACCCGCACCCCAAACACACCUGAUGACUCGCCAGGUGGGAGGCAGGUGACAGGGCUCAUUAGGGAAGGUACAAGGACUUACCUCAUUACACCUUGGUCGUGCCCCGGCGUGGUCGUGCGCUUCAGAGGCCCGAGCGGCGUUACCUGGCGAGGGUCAGUGAGGAGGACGAGUCUGGACGUCAGGGCGGAUGAAAGUCACCCCAUUAACCCUCCUUGAGCCCUUCACGCGACCGCCACGCUGGACUUUUGGGUGAUUCGGCGUGUAGGUAUGGUCAGCCGCUUCCGCCUCUCACAUCAACUAUUUCCGCAGACCAACAAGAAGAUCAGCCGGUUUCUAAUGAGUGGUUUUCUGAGGUUUAUGUUACAGAAGAAGUGUCAGACUACCACUAGGGUCAUAAAACUACCCCUGGAAAUGCUUAAAAGUCCUACGAAAGUCUUGUCAGAUAUGUGAGUUUUGGGCGCUGAAGUGUUUAAAGGUCGGUACUGUCAGACUCAUCCGCCUCACAUCAAAUAUUUCCACAGACCAGAAAGAAGAUUAGCGGGCUCCUAAUGGAUGUUUCUUUUAGGUUCAUGGUACAGAAGAAGGGUCGGACUACCACUUGGGUUAUAAAGUCACUCAUGGAGAUGCUUAAAACUCCUACGAAAGCCUUGUCAAAAUAUGUGUGCUUUAAUGUUUAAGAAAAUGACCCCAAGACCCAUCGGAUGCUUGACUCGCCUCACGCAUGACCGCUCGAAGCAAGGGUCGGACCACUCGCUUGCUCCAUGAUUGCCACGCUUCGCCACGCAGGAAAAGGCAAGUAUGAAGUUUCGUCUGUCUUGAAUUAGUUUCUCAAUAGUUAAUCAUUCUUUUUACCCCUUUUAAUUUUAUACGUGGGAUCAUUUACCUGCUAACACAUGAAAAGAAGUGGAGAUAGGUGUUAGAGGUUACAGUUGUGAAUCAUGGCAGCAUCAUAUCUCCCUCCUCCCCUAUACCU